Long non-coding RNA from Oncorhynchus masou masou (cherry salmon), 283 nucleotides. RefSeq lists it as uncharacterized. Lineage: Eukaryota; Metazoa; Chordata; Actinopteri; Salmoniformes; Salmonidae. The record is from RefSeq and is a predicted model, not a curated record. The transcript is spliced from 3 exons.
CAGUUAGUCCCAUCCUGUUCCCUGAUUAAGAGGUGAUGACCACUCCACUACCACUGUCAACUCUCUCCUGACAUGAACGGAAGCCACUUCCUCUCCAAACACUUGGAAGUUGAGCUCUUCUCCAACACCAUCCAUCCAUGAUGAACCUCUCCUGCACUGACGCCUCUGAACACCUCAAUCCCUGACUUGCAUUGAAGACUAUGAACACCUCAACUUAUGCCUCAUACUCUCAUUCAAUCACUGAUGUGAUCCCUUCCCAACACUGUAUGACCUGAGCCCUAGG